This 329-nucleotide unclassified non-coding RNA is filed under the name soil metagenome. RNAcentral's name for it is "partial contains 5.8S ribosomal RNA, internal transcribed spacer 2, and large subunit ribosomal RNA". The stretch from base 1 to 120 matches the Rfam family "5.8S ribosomal RNA", at positions 35 to 154 of the family's 154-position model. The record is from RNAcentral.
GAUGAAGAACGUAGCGAAAUGCGAUAAGUAAUGUGAAUUGCAGAAUUCAGUGAAUCAUCGAAUCUUUGAACGCACAUUGCGCCCCCUGGUAUUCCGGGGGGCAUGCCUGUCCGAGCGUCAUUACAACCCUCAAGCUCAGCUUGGUGUUGGGCCCCGCCGCCCCGGCGGGCCCUAAAGUCAGUGGCGGUGCCGUCCGGCUCCGAGCGUAGUAAUUCUUCUCGCUCUGGAGGUCCGGUCGUGUGCUCGCCAGCAACCCCCAAUUUUUUUCAGUUUGACCUCGGAUCAGGUAGGGAUACCCGCUGAACUUAAGCAUAUCAAUAAGCGGAGGA